GUGAGGAAUAUUGGUCAAUGGACGAGAGUCUGAACCAGCCAAGUCGCGUGAAGGAAGACGGUUCUAUGAAUUGUAAACUUCUUUUGUGCAGGAAUAAAGUGGGUUACGUGUAACCUUUUGUAUGUACUGUACGAAUAAGGAUCGGCUAACUCCGUGCCAGCAGCCGCGGUAAUACGGAGGAUCCGAGCGUUAUCCGGAUUUAUUGGGUUUAAAGGGUGCGCAGGCGGGUUGAUAAGUCAGCGGUGAAAGUUUGCAGCUUAACUGUAAAAUUGCCGUUGAAACUGUCGAUCUUGAGUGCAAAUGAGGUAAGCGGAAUGUGUUGUGUAGCGGUGAAAUGCUUAGAUAUAACACAGAACACCGAUUGCGAAGGCAGCUUACUGGGAUGCAACUGACGCUCAUGCACGAAAGCGUGGGGAUCAAACAGGAUUAGAAACCCCGGUAGUCC
This 445-nucleotide ribosomal RNA is filed under the name uncultured bacterium. Its description in RNAcentral is "partial 16S ribosomal RNA". It matches the Rfam family "Bacterial small subunit ribosomal RNA", at positions 354 to 796 of the family's 1533-position model. The record is from RNAcentral.